AAACUGUGGUGUGGACACUUUCUUAAUAACUCCUUAUACCUUUCCCAUGCCUCAUACAAGGAUUCAAUAUCGCUUUGUACAAAGGAUGUUAUAUCAUUUCUCAUCUU
Molecule: small nucleolar RNA, 107 nt
Organism: Pistacia vera
Lineage: Eukaryota; Viridiplantae; Streptophyta; Magnoliopsida; Sapindales; Anacardiaceae
Source: RefSeq, a predicted model, not a curated record